RNA transcript from Labeo rohita (rohu), 4150 nucleotides. It is a transcript of the gene named gastrula zinc finger protein XlCGF8.2DB-like, with no coding region annotated. The record is from RefSeq and is a predicted model, not a curated record. NCBI's taxonomy places the organism in Eukaryota, Metazoa, Chordata, Actinopteri, Cypriniformes, Cyprinidae. The transcript is spliced from 3 exons.
AUUCAUCCUGAGUGUCUUUUUUCUCCGCUAAAAACAACACACGAAGAAGAAGAAGAAAAACAGCAACAGCGCGAACUCUUCAGUCCUCUGGUCUUGUUCUGUUGUUUUUGAUCUGGUUCUCCAUAAUGCAUAACAAUGAGCUGUGACGAAGUGAAGAUGGAGUGUAUUAAAGAGGAGAAUAAUAAUACAUGCCAUCAGUGUGGAAAGAGCCUCUCAUGUAAAGGAAGGCUUGAAGAACACAUGAGAAUUCACACUGGAGAGAAACCGUUCACAUGCCCUCAGUGUGAAAAGAGUUUUUCACGUAAACGAAACUUUAUGCUUCACAUAAGGCUCCACACCGGAGAGAAGCCGUUUCCGUGUCAGCAGUGUGGAAAAAGUUUCUCAUGUCGAGAAACCCUUAAGACUCAUUUAAAGUUUCACAGUAAUGAGAAACCAUUCAAGUGCCCUCAGUGUGAAAAGAGUUUUUUAAUGAAAAGAAUCCUUGAUAGUCACAUGCGAAUUCACACUGAAGAAAAGCCGUUCACAUGUGAUCAGUGCGGAAAAAGUUACAAAUGGUUAAAUAGUCUCAGAUUUCAUAAACUCCUUCACUCUGGAGAAAAGCCGUUUAAGUGUGAUCACUGCGAUAAGAGGUUUGUUCUGGAACCACACCUGAAGGAACACAUGAAAGCUCACAGCCAAGAGAAGCCUUACUUGUGCUCUGUUUGUGGAAAGGGUUUUUCAUGGCUGGGCCGUUUUAAAGACCAUCUGAAAAUACACUCUGGUGUGAAAGAGUAUUUGUGCACAGAUUGUGGUAAAGCCUUUACUACAGCCAGUCAGCUGAAAGUGCACCGCAGGAUCCAUACCGGAGAAAAACCGUACAAGUGUUCACACUGUGACAAGAGUUUUGGACAGUUAGGAACCCUCCAAAACCAUGAGAGAAUUCACACUGGAGAGAAGCUGUUCCAGUGCCAUCCGUGCGGCAGGAGAUUCACCCAUUACGGAACGGCAGCGACUCACACAAAGAAGCAUUGCCCAAAAAAAAAAAGUCAAUAUGACUGGAGAAACAAGACCUUGAGAGCUCAAGCAAUUAAUGAGUGCUGCCUUUGUUGGUGGAUUUUUGCUUUAUUUCACACUAUCCGGUUAUUUGUAAUUCAAAUGUACAAAAAAAAAGUACCCAGGUGAAGCAUGCAGUCAGAAUGAAAAUGACCUGUAGUAGAGUUACAAAUCUUCGUUCAUUUAAGAUAGAUUAUAUAACAAUGAUUGUAAUUAUUUGGAUAUUUAACUUCUUCUGAAGUUGUUUAUGUUUCUUACAGUUCACUGUUGCUCUGAGUUUCAUCAGGUCAGUGAAAUCACUGUUAAAACAUCUGCUGGCAGAGAUGCAUUUUUUAUUAAAAGAAAUAUAAAAAUUUGGUCUCAAAAUGGGUUGGAAAUGAAAAUCUGAAAAUCAAACACAAAUUUACUACAGCAACAACACUGUAAACAGUAAUGAAUGAAAACUGUUUAAAAAAACGAAGGAAAUAAAAAUGUAGACAAAAGUAAAAACAACAAUGAGAAUCCCAGCAUUUCUUUCUUUCUUUGUUUUUAAUACAGGGUUCAUACAACGUGCUUAAAAUUCUUGAAGUAGCCUACUUGAAUUUGCCUUUUUGAAAUAUAAGGCCUGGAAAAUAGCAAUAUUCCUGAAGAGGUACUUAAAAAGUGCUUGGAUUAUUGAAAGACAGUGUAUCUAUAAAAUCAGUGUUUAAUUUUUUGCAGUAAGCACAUAUCUUUUUAAAAUUCAUCAUAUUUCAUUAAAUGUCAUAAAACUAGCGAGAAAACCCGGUAGUAGUACUGACAUGUCGUGUAAACAUGGCUGAAGAUGCGAAAAGAGGAACUGAUGAACCAAAUCAGUUUUACACUGGAUCUGCUCCGAUUGAUUCAAACUCAUGACUUCAGUCAUUCAUUUUCAGCAGUUCACUAGCAAAAGCCAGAAUAAAUUAAAAGAGCCAUUUAUUUGACAUUCAUUUUUGGAAUGGAAACACAAUCUGCGUGAGGAUCUUCCUCUCAGGAUUUAUAAUGGUUGGCAUUUUGGCAAACAAACAUGUUGCAUUUUCACAAUCUUUUAAGUAAACCAGUUACUUGUAAUUGUCUAAUAAAGCCGAACUACUGAGAUGUUUCUAGCAAGUAUCAAACUUCACUGACCAAAAUUAUAAACACAACACUUUUGUUUUUGCUCCCAUUUUUCAUGAGCUGAACUCAAAGAUCUAAGACUUUUUCUAUGUACACAAAAGGCCUAUUUCUCUCAAAUAUUGUUCACAAAUCUGUCUAAAUCUGUGUUAGUGAGCACUUCUCCUUUGCCGAGAUAAUCCAUCCACCUCACAGGUGUGGCAUAUCAAGAUGCUGAUUAGACAGCAUGAUUAUUGCACAGGUGUGCCUUAGGCUGGACACAAUAAAAGGCCACUCUAAAAUGUGCAGUUUUACUGUAUUGGGUCCGAAAACCAGUCAGUAUCUGGUGUGACCACCAUUUGCCUCACGCAGUGCAACACAUCUCCUUCACAUAGAGUUGAUCAGGUUGUUGAUUGUGGCCUGUGGAAUAUUGGUCCACUCCUCUUCAAUGGCUGUGUGAAGUGGCUAGAUAUAUUGGCAGGAACUGGAACACGCUGUCAUAUAUGCCAAUCCAGAGAAUCCCAAACAUGCUCAAUGGGUGACAUGUCCGGUGAGUAUGCUGGCCAUGCAAGAACUGGGAUGUUUUCAGCUUCCAGGAAUUGUGAACAGAUCCUUGCAACAUGGGGCCGUGCAUUAUCAUGCUGCAACAUGAAGUGAUGGUUGUGGAUGAACAGCACAACAAUGGGCCUCAGGCUCUUGUCACUGUAUCUCUGUGCAUUCAAAAUGCCAUCAAUGAAAUGAACCUGUGUUCGUUGUCCAUAACAUACACCUGCCCAUAACCCCACCCCCACCAUGGGGCACUUGAUCCACAGCGCUGACAUCAGCAAACCGCUCACCCACACGACGCCAUACACGCUGUCUGCCCUGUACAGUGAAAACCGGGAUUCAUCCGUGAAGAGAACACCUCUCCAAAGUGCCAGACACCAUUGAAGCAUUUGCCCACUAAAGUCAGUUACGACGACGAACUGCAGUCAGGUCGAGACCCUAGAUGAGCUUCUUUGAGACGGUUUCUGACAGUUUGUGCAGAAAUUCUUUGGUUAUGCAAACCGAUUGUUGCAGCAGCUGUCCGGGUGGCUGGUCUCAGACAAUCUUGGAGGUGAAGAUGCUGGAUGUGGAGGUCCUGGGCUGGUGUGGUUACACUUGGUCUGCGGUUGUGAUGGCCAGUUUGAUGUACUGCCAAAUUCUCUGAAACGCCUUUGGAGACGGCUUAUGGUAGAGAAAUGAACAUUCAAUUCACGGGCAACAGCUCUGGUGGACAUUCCUGCAGUCAGCAUGCCACCUGCACGCUCCCUCAAAACUUGCGACAUCUGUGGCAUUGUGCUGUGUGAUAAAACUGCACAUUUUAGAGUGGCCUUUUAUUGUGGCCAGCCUAAGACACACUUGUGUAAUAAUCAUGCUGUCUAAUCAGCAUCUCGGUGUAGUAGAUGUUCCCAACUGCAGAGUCAAACACGUAAAAGUACUUGAAGGGAAGAAUUUUACCCCUGCAUGAUACCCUUUUCAUCAUCUCAUAAUGUCAAAUUUCUUGGGUUUAAUCAGUAAAGUCUGGUAGAAGAAUAAAAUAAUAUACGGCUGUUAAAGGAUUACUCCACUUCCAGAAAAAAAAUCCCUGAUAAUUUACUCACCUCCAUGUCAUGCAAGAUAUUCUUGUCUUUUUUUCUUCAGUCGCAAAGAAAUGAUGUUUUUGAGGAAAACGUUCCAGAAUUUUUCUCCAUAUAGUAUACUUAAAUGGUGCUUCAUGGAUUGAAGGUUAAAAAUGCUGUUUCAGUGCAGCUUCUAAAUGAUCCCAGCCGUGGAAUAAGGGUCUUAUCUAGCUCAGCAAUCAGUAAGUGCUGAUUGCAUUCCCAAGUGGAGAAUGUAGUUGUUUGAUUGAGUGUUUUGUGUUUGUGCAGAAUGAAAAUGACAACUGGUAAAGUAUUUAUUUUUGUUCAUACACUUGCAUUACUGUAAUCAUCUGGAUGUUUAACUUUGUUCUGUAUUUGAGCUGCUUUGAGAUUAAUCGACAUCACUGUUGAAAUAUCCACUUUUUAUU